This 705-nucleotide ribosomal RNA is filed under the name Triticum aestivum (bread wheat). RNAcentral's name for it is "partial small subunit ribosomal RNA". Lineage: Eukaryota; Viridiplantae; Streptophyta; Magnoliopsida; Poales; Poaceae. The record is from RNAcentral.
AUGUAUGAAGGAAAGAGCUUUCCAUUGUACGAGGCAUUGGGUGUGCUCUAUGAAGGACACAUUGCGCAAGGAAGACAUUGCCUCACAUCAAGGAAGCCCCCGAUUGGCACAAAAAUAGGUAGCAACUUUGUAGCGAAGGAUAAGAUGGUUGCAAGCACUAGCAAGAAAAAUACAAGACAUGGAAGAGAUGACAACGUAAGGACUUCUUCAAUAAUUGACAUCAAUGAUACUUCUACAUUAGAUGAUGUGGAUGAAAGAGAGAACACUGUCAAUGACGAGGAAGAAUUAGGCAGUGAAGAUGCUGAUGGCGAUCAACCACAAAUAAGUGAAUCAAGUGCCAAAGGGAAAAAAACUAAGAAACAAAAAGGUGCCACAUCUAUACAGCGGCUUGAAGAUUCCAUUAUGGCUUAUGUGAAUUUCAAGAAAGAGCAAGCUUCCAAGAAGGAAAAAGUGUCACAGCAAGGAAAACAACCCUCAAUUACAGAAUGCUUGCAGGUCUUGAAUGACAUGGAUGAUGUUCCCGACGAGGUCAAAAUCUUUGCCUCUGAUGUUUUCAAGGAUGCAGCAAAUCGUGAGAUUUUCCUGGGUUACAACUCAAGAUUGCGGGGUAUGUGGCUAAAGAAGGAAGUCGACAAGAUUAGUCCUCAGCCUCCUCCUUCUCGGUUUUCAUCUGGCGGUAUUCCUUCAAUCAAUCUGGUGCUCUGA